This 830-nucleotide long non-coding RNA is filed under the name Mus spretus (western wild mouse). RNAcentral describes it as "predicted gene 44939 (ENSMSPG00010012849.1)". The record is from RNAcentral. Lineage: Eukaryota; Metazoa; Chordata; Mammalia; Rodentia; Muridae.
GAGGGCGUCAUGCAGAGGAGUUGAGGCUGGGCACCAUGAAGGGAGCCUCUGAGAGGCUACUGGUGAAGCCUAGUUGCAGUGAGAAACCCCAUCAUGUUAGAGAUGCCAGUACAAUGGGAUGACCAUCAGGAACAGCAGCAACAGUGGAGUAGAAUCAACCAGACCCUGGAAUGCUACAGAGGGCAAAGUUAGAGAUAUGACCCAAGCCCUUUGGAGGAACCCAGAAGAUAAUUUGUGGGUACCAGACAUUGGAACAAGAAGCCGUAACUUCAAUGUUGCCUUGGAGACGCCAAGAUGUUUGAGAUGCCAGAGUCAUGGGAUACCUGUUAUGGAAAACUACUAACAGGGAGUGUUACUAGCCACCAAAGAGAGUUGUGCUGCAGUCCACAACGCAGGAAGGAGUUGGAUAUAAGACGUGGAGAUGCUGACUUUAGAGUUUUCCCAGAUGGUUUUUGGUCUUGCAUUGGUCCAGUAUUUCCUCAGUAUAAAGCUUUGCAAUGAUAAUGUAUAUCCUGUGACAGUGGAGAGCAGUCUGGCAGACAAAGCAUCAGAGUCUUGCCAAACAAACCCAACACUGCUUUCUUCAACUGCUCCAAUGGAUACAGGACUCUAGCAAGCAAAAGUGGCCUCACCAGGCUGAAGAGGGGCCACCCUGUCUCAUCUCCUGUUCUCCACAGCUCAGCGUGUGUGUGGCUGUCUACAGGUUUUCACCUCACUCUUUGCUUAUUCGAAAUCCAGCUACCUCAGACACCCUGGGUUCAGCCCUCCUGGUGCUCUCCAGGGUGCUCAGCACCCUGUCCCCAGCUGGUUUCACAAAGGCCUCCACUUCC